GGGAGUGCUAGCUCAUGCGAAGACCUUCUUUUUGACUGAUCUGGAUCCUUUUUUCAAAUAUCUAAAACCUUUACAGAGGUUGAAGAUGAACUUUUGAAAGAGAUAAAAAGGAAGAAGAAAGAUGAAAAAGAAAAUAAUUUUUUUCUAAUUUAUUCUCUAUUCUUAAAUCCUUAGAAUCAAAAAUCUGAAAUUCAAGUUUUUGCACACACCCCA
This 213-nucleotide long non-coding RNA is filed under the name Elaeis guineensis (African oil palm). RNAcentral's name for it is "long non-coding RNA (EGUI_LNC050698)". Lineage: Eukaryota; Viridiplantae; Streptophyta; Magnoliopsida; Arecales; Arecaceae. The record is from RNAcentral.